UACGUAGGGACCAAGCGUUGUUCGGAUUUACUGGGCGUAAAGGGCGCGUAGGCGGCGCGGUAAGUCACUUGUGAAAUCUCUGAGCUUAACUCAGAACGGCCAAGUGAUACUGCAGUGCUAGAGUGUGGAAGGGGCAAUCGGAAUUCUUGGUGUAGCGGUGAAAUGCGUAGAUAUCUGGAGGAACACCGAUGGCGAAGGCAGCUGCCUGGCCCAGAACUGACGCUGAGGCGCGAAAGCUAGGGGAGCAAACGGG
This 253-nucleotide ribosomal RNA is filed under the name uncultured bacterium. Its description in RNAcentral is "partial 16S ribosomal RNA". It matches the Rfam family "Bacterial small subunit ribosomal RNA", at positions 524 to 776 of the family's 1533-position model. The record is from RNAcentral.